CGGCAGGCUUACACAUGCAGUCGAGGGGUACGAUGGCUUCGGCCAGGCGACGACCGGCGAACGGGUGCGUAACGCGUAUGCAACUUACCUCUAACUGAGGCAUAGCCCGAAGAAAUUCGGAUUAAUACUUCAUAAUAUCCUAAAUUCGCAUGUUUUUAGGAUUAAAGCUCCGGCGGUUAGAGAUGGGCAUGCGUGCCAUUAGUUUGUUGGUGAGGUAACGACUCACCAAGACUGCGAUGGCUAGGGGGUCUGAGAGGAUGGUCCCCCACACUGGUACUGAGACACGGACCAGACUCCUACGGGAGGCAGCAGUGAGGAAUAUUGGUCAAUGGGCGCAAGCCUGAACCAGCCAUGCCGCGUGCAGGAUGAAUGCCCUACGGGUUGUAAACUGCUUUUCUACAGGAAGAAACCCUCGAACGUGUUCGGGAUUGACGGUACUGUAGGAAUAAGCAUCGGCUAACUCCGUGCCAGCAGCCGCGGUAAUACGGAGGAUGCAAGCGUUAUCCGGAUUUAUUGGGUUUAAAGGGUGCGUAGGCGGAAUAAUUAGUCAGUGGUGAAAUCCUGCGGCUCAACCGUAGAACUGCCAUUGAUACUGUUAUUCUUGAGUACAGUCGAGGUGGGCGGAAUGUGUAAUGUAGCGGUGAAAUGCUUAGAUAUUACACAGAACGCCAAUUGCGAAGGCAGCUCACUAAGCUGUUACUGACGCUGAGGCACGAAAGCGUGGGGAGCGAACAGGAUUAGAUACCCUGGUAGUCCACGCUGUAAACGAUGAUCACUCGUUGUUGGCGAUACACUGUCAGCGACUGAGCAAAAGCAUUAAGUGAUCCACCUGGGGAGUACGGUCGCAAGAUUGAAACUCAAAGGAAUUGACGGGGGCCCGCACAAGCGGAGGAACAUGUGGUUUAAUUCGAUGAUAC
RNAcentral lists this ribosomal RNA (917 nucleotides) under uncultured Bacteroidota bacterium. Its description in RNAcentral is "bacterial SSU rRNA". It matches the Rfam family "Bacterial small subunit ribosomal RNA", at positions 40 to 960 of the family's 1533-position model. Lineage: Bacteria; Pseudomonadati; Bacteroidota. The record is from RNAcentral.